RNAcentral lists this transfer-messenger RNA (362 nucleotides) under Woeseiaceae bacterium. It matches the Rfam family "transfer-messenger RNA". From Rfam's summary of the family: Bacterial tmRNA, also known as 10Sa RNA or SsrA, is named for its dual tRNA and mRNA-like properties. Its role is to liberate the mRNA from a stalled ribosome. To accomplish this part of the tmRNA is used as a reading frame that ends in a translation stop signal. The record is from RNAcentral. Lineage: Bacteria; Pseudomonadati; Pseudomonadota; Gammaproteobacteria; Woeseiales; Woeseiaceae.
GGGGGUGACAUGGCUUCGACGUGGGUCGCGAAACUCCGAGUGCAUGCCGAGGGACAGAUUACCUCGUAAAUCCAGCUGUAAAACUUAUAGUUGCCAACGACGACAACUACGCACUAGCUGCCUAAAAACCAGCCUAGCGCCCUCUGCCCGGACCGUGCCUGUGCGUCCGGAUCCCAGGGGUCGACUACACAGGACCGCGGUGAGGGCUUGUUCAGGGCCCGAUCCGUUAAAUCUCUACUGAACUGGCUGUGAGUCUUCCCUGCCCGUCGGGUAGCUCACAGUGAGAUCAAAGACGGAAUAAGCAUGUAGACCUUGGGGCGGAGGGCUUGCGGACGUGGGUUCGAUUCCCACCACCUCCACCA